RNAcentral lists this ribosomal RNA (253 nucleotides) under uncultured bacterium. Its description in RNAcentral is "partial 16S ribosomal RNA". It matches the Rfam family "Bacterial small subunit ribosomal RNA", at positions 524 to 776 of the family's 1533-position model. The record is from RNAcentral.
UACGUAGGGUGCGAGCGUUAAUCGGAAUUACUGGGCGUAAAGCGUGCGCAGGCGGCUUCGCAAGUCAGACGUGAGAUCCCCGGGCUUAACCUGGGAAUGGCGUUUGAAACUACGGAGCUGGAGUGUGGCAGAGGGAGGUAGAAUUCCACGUGUAGCGGUGAAAUGCGUAGAUAUGUGGAGGAAUACCGAUGGCGAAGGCAGCCUCCUGGGCCAACACUGACGCUCAUGCACGAAAGCGUGGGGAGCAAACAGG